This 571-nucleotide long non-coding RNA is filed under the name Elaeis guineensis (African oil palm). Its description in RNAcentral is "long non-coding RNA (EGUI_LNC070697)". Lineage: Eukaryota; Viridiplantae; Streptophyta; Magnoliopsida; Arecales; Arecaceae. The record is from RNAcentral.
GGUUCACUAAUCUGCCUGUUUCAGGAUUGUGCUCUUGUGUGAUUACUUGUUUUACUCUGAAAAUAUACUGAGUAAGUCUGUUGUGCAGAUUCCAUAUGAGAUAUGGAUCGGGCAUAGACCUAGACUCUCUCACCUUUGGAUUUGGAGUUGAUCGGCCUAUGUCAAAAGUUUGCAUACAGAUAAACUUGGUUCAUGGUCCAGUAGGUGUUUAAGGGUUACUAAUUCUAUCAUGCUGAAGAACAUAAGAUGCUCAUCAGCAGUAGGAUAUUUCUUUUAGAAAGGAGUUCCUUAGAGAAGGAACUGAUGCCUAUCAAGUUGAACUUGAAAGUUUGAUUGAUAGAAAAUGAACCGAUAUAAUCUAGUAAACCUACAGAAUCAGAUUUGAUUAGAUCAAAUUUGGAGCCCAUUAAAGUAAAUGCAAUGCAGUGGUCUAACUCUGAGAAGUGGCUUGGAGCCAUUAAAUCCAAUUUGAAGUCCAUGAAAUCAAUAGUGUAUGGACACUAGAUGAUUCACCUUAAGGAAUAAAACCCAUUGGGUGUGAAUGAAUUUUUCAAAAGGAUCAGAGUAGCAC